AAAGGGAGACCUAAUUCAGGUAUGGGACGAAAAAAAAGUAGUCGCUACCAAGAAUCAAUCCCAAAAGGUCGGAGCGAGGCGAAAUUGGCUUUCAAACUAGGUUCUGGGUUCAAACAAGACCUGAAUCAGGAACAAGGGCUAUUAGCUCAGGUGGUUAGAGCGCACCCCUGAUAAGGGUGAGGUCCCUGGUUCGAGUCCAGGAUGGCCCACCUGCACAGGUGGCAAAAACAAAGAAGCGAGGAAUCAGCACCUUAUCUUAUAUACAUAUAUAAGAGAGAAUGCUGGCUCUGAGUAAAGAGUCCAGAGGAACCUUGAAAACUGCAUAGAGCUAGGUGAAAAAGCCAAAAAAGAAGACCGCAAG
This 361-nucleotide transfer RNA is filed under the name uncultured Microcystis sp. Its description in RNAcentral is "partial 16S-23S ribosomal RNA intergenic spacer". The stretch from base 136 to 209 matches the Rfam family "tRNA". Lineage: Bacteria; Bacillati; Cyanobacteriota; Cyanophyceae; Chroococcales; Microcystaceae. The record is from RNAcentral.